Molecule: RNA transcript, 1722 nt
Organism: Macadamia integrifolia
Lineage: Eukaryota; Viridiplantae; Streptophyta; Magnoliopsida; Proteales; Proteaceae
Gene name: UMP-CMP kinase 4-like
Exons: 8
Source: RefSeq, a predicted model, not a curated record
ACUGUUUCUUUCUCAUUCCCCAACUCCCCUAAGCCCUAAUUCCUACCAAUCUAGGUCUUCACAUCUUCUUCUUCUACUCCUAGUAAUCUCUUUAAAUUGCUUCACUGCAUUUCAGGCUAAGGAGAACAAAUCAGAGGUUCUAUUCAAUUCAAAGUAUUUCAUUAAUUUGCAGUGAAGUAGAAGGGUUUUGAUUGAUCUGAACCAGUAAGGUGGUGCAGGAAGUGGAAAGGGAACCCAGUGUGCGAAAAUUGUUGAACACUUCGGAUUUACCCAUCUCAGCGCUGGAGAUCUUCUUAAAGCAGAAAUGGAAUCUGAUUCGGAAAAUGGAUCUCCAGAGAGACUAAUUCCAUCCAAGUAACCCCGAAAAUGAGAUUUCUAACUCAUUCUUCUUUCUGUUUUAUGCCUAUGCCAAGCCUUGACCCUUGGUCCUUAAGGUUGAUCACUUCAUUAACGCACCAAUGAGGUUACAAAGAAGCUGGUCAUCUUUCCUUUGUUUGAUUCUUUUCUUUGGAUUGGCCACAAAUUCUUUCUUCUUAUUAUGAAGUACCAUGAUCAGAAAUAUGCGGAAGGAAGGGAAGAUUGUUCCUUCUGAGGUAACAAUUAAGCUUCUCCAGCAAGCAAUGCAGGAGAGUGGAAACAACAAAUUUCUUAUUGAUGGCUUCCCUCGUAAUGAAGAGAAUCUUGCUGCAUUUGAGAACGUUUUAGAAUUCCCUUUACUUUCAUGCGGGGAUAACGGAAAACUGUCUUGUAGAUGAAUAUUGAACCAGACUUUGUUCUGUUCUUUAAAUGUUCAGAGGAGGAGAGGAAAAGACGCAUUUUAAAUAGGAACCAGGUUUGAGAAGUUGCAUCCUUUUAGUGUCUUAUCACCCAAGUAUCUUUUUACAUCAUAUUCACAAAGUCAUCUCAACAAAAGCUACCCCAACAUUAUGUUCAUGUUAUGUUCCUCAUUUUUGUUUACAUUUUUUUUUUGGGUUGAACUCUGGAGGGAAGAGAUGAUGAUAACAUUGAUACAAUACUAAAGCGGUUUAAAGUUUAUGAAGAAUGCACUCUACCUAUAAUUGAAUAUUACAGAUCAAAGGUCAAGAUUUGUGAGGAUAUCUGAUGAGGACGGGCCUCGGCACAAUGGUAAGUUGGCUCCAUUGCAACCUGGUGGUUGUGGAUUCGAGUCUGGAAACAGUUUCUCCGUGAAGCAGGGGUAAAACUGCGUACAUUAUGAUCUUCCCUAAGCCCUGCAGUGGUGGGAGCCUUAUGCACUGGAUUGAUGCUGAAAGACCUGUUCAAGAAGUUUUUGAGGUGAUCUCUCGUCAGCUAGUGGAAAGGAUAUCUGCAGGAACCGAUGUUGAGGUCUGUGGGAAAGAAGAUAUGGCUGUUUAGAACUAUACAAUUAGGUAGCGCUCCUGUGGCAGUCUUCAGGCAUUUUAAUUGUUACAAUAAGGAAAUAAAAUAGAAGGUUUAGAGGUUUUUAUCAUUAUUAUUAUUAUUAUAUAUUUUUUUUUAUAACUUUGCUUUCGAACGAGUUGUGUUGAUUUUGCAGGGAAGGAGUGAAUUAGCAAUUCUCCAAAUAGAACUGACUACUGAAAAGUGUUUGAUACCUCAUUAUUUUGUGGGUUCUUCUAUCUCCCAAGAAAUUCUUGCAUAGGAACCUUGUGCUAUUUCUUUGUUCAUUGGUUUAUAGUCCUUGUGCAUAUGAUAUGGAAGGAAAGUUUUAUGGUUCUGAAAGAU